GGCGGCAGGCCUAACACAUGCAAGUCGAGCGCACCUUCGGGUGAGCGGCGGACGGGUUAGUAACGCGUGGGAACGUACCCUUUUCUACGGAAUAGCCUUUGGAAACGAAGAGUAAUACCGUAUACGCCCUUUGGGGGAAAGAUUUAUCGGAGAAGGAUCGGCCCGCGUUAGAUUAGAUAGUUGGUGGGGUAACGGCCUACCAAGUCUACGAUCUAUAGCUGGUUUUAGAGGAUGAUCAGCAACACUGGGACUGAGACACGGCCCAGACUCCUACGGGAGGCAGCAGUGGGGAAUCUUAGACAAUGGGCGCAAGCCUGAUCUAGCCAUGCCGCGUGAGUGAUGAAGGCCUUAGGGUCGUAAAGCUCUUUCGCCUGUGAUGAUAAUGACAGUAGCAGGUAAAGAAACCCCGGCUAACUCCGUGCCAGCAGCCGCGGUAAUACGGAGGGGGUUAGCGUUGUUCGGAAUUACUGGGCGUAAAGCGCACGUAGGCGGAUUGGAAAGUUGGGGGUGAAAUCCCGGGGCUCAACCCCGGAACUGCCUCCAAAACUAUCAGUCUAGAGUUCGAGAGAGGUGAGUGGAAUUCCAAGUGUAGAGGUGAAAUUCGUAGAUAUUUGGAGGAACACCAGUGGCGGAAGGCGACUCACUGGCUCUUAUACUGA
This 659-nucleotide ribosomal RNA is filed under the name alpha proteobacterium IMCC14600. RNAcentral's name for it is "bacterial SSU rRNA". It matches the Rfam family "Bacterial small subunit ribosomal RNA", at positions 38 to 743 of the family's 1533-position model. Lineage: Bacteria; Pseudomonadati; Pseudomonadota; Alphaproteobacteria. The record is from RNAcentral.